Molecule: long non-coding RNA, 1570 nt
Organism: Brassica oleracea var. oleracea
Lineage: Eukaryota; Viridiplantae; Streptophyta; Magnoliopsida; Brassicales; Brassicaceae
Exons: 2
Source: RefSeq, a predicted model, not a curated record
UAGCUAUGAUAAAAUAAAUUAUCACCUUAGAAUUCAAAAAGCUAAAAGAUUGUGGAUGAGAAAAGUCAGAAGAGGAAUGCUUGUUUCGGCAUGCAUGUCUCCGCCUCUUUGAUUGCAGAAUUUAUUAAAAUGUAAAUGGCAGUCUCUCUCUCAUCUAUCCAAACUCUCUCAAGACCAACAAAGCUCAGACGCGUCACUGCUCUCUCUCCGGUGUCCGGAGGUGCGUCCGAGCGCGUACCGGCGCCGGAGGAGCCUCUCUCCCUUCCCUCGUUUUCUCCUUUGCUGCUCUUCUGUCUGUCUCUUCCCUCUGAUAUGCUCGCUGUCCUGGGUUUGGUACGUGGCUCCGGAGAGUGCUCCGUGCGCAAGGAGCGUCUCUCUCUGGCUCCACAUACUUUUUCUGGGGCUGCGGUGAGGAGGACUCAAGGUUCAGUGGAGGUGUGGUCGGCUUUUAGGGUUUAUGGCGGGAUCGAUUUUCCAGAUCUGUUUUUAGAUCCCGUCGGAUUCCUUCGUCGUUAAGGGGAUUUAAAGGUCUGCUCCUACUAUUCGACUUCGGCGGUGUCGACUGUUGAAUGGUGGAGUCUUUCGGUAGCGGUGGUGGGUUCCUUGGUCUUCUCCGGCGUCGGCGAGGUCCAUUCCUCCUGCUUGUUACCAAGUGAGUUUCGGUGGUUUACUUCACCGGAAGCGCGCCAGGGGCUGUGAUACGCAGAAGUAGAUGGUAUCAUGGCUUCGUAUCCGGCGUGAGUGGUUGUUGUUAGUGACUAUGAAAGGCAGUCGUCUAUGGCUCCUGGAUGGUUUCUCGUGGCUCUGCCUCGCUUCUGAUAUCUCUCUCAUGGCGUCUUGCCCGGUUCUCUGGUUUGGAAGUGACCUUUUCCUUUCCGGAGCAGCCUCUUGGUGUUUCAUUGUCAAAUCGCUUUGUUUGACUCCGAAGUUCGGUUUUCACAGUCAAGUAAACGGUCUCUCGGUUCUCUAUAACUGGAUUUGUUGAGGCGAUUCUCGGGAGUCAUUGGUCGUCUCGGGUCAACAGAUUGUUAUAGCUCACGUCCGAGUGUCGCUUUGUUCCUUUCGUUCUUUGCGGCAGUGGGCUUGACUUUACUUGCAGGUGAUGGAGGCUUUUUGACAGGAUGUGGCGAUGGCAUCAACCCGAUUUCUUGCACGGUUCGUGGCGGCAAUGGAGGUGGUGUCUCUUGGUAAGAGUUAUUUCAUCUUUGUGCUCGUCUAGCACUUCAUCGAUUGGUGACGGUUAUAAGCUCGAGGAGUUCAUUGGGAGCCUGCUACUCCAGAGACGACACGGGAGUUCCCGGCAUCCGAGGCAACGAGGAGAACCUCACGGUCCUGUGGUCAUCGUCGAUGGUAGAGAACGGUAACUGAUUCCUUAGGAUUUUAAAAAUGGCUUAGCGGAAUGUGCCGGGUUUAGUGGGUGGGCGAAGCUAGGUUGUAAUACUUUGACUCGGGAGAUUUUGUUCAAAUCGAUCUUGUAACCGGAUUUGAACCCCCUUUAUUGGGAUGAAUAAAAUUUAUUUCUUAAAAAAAUAAAAAUAAAAAGUAAGCAAAAAAGUUGAUUUGUAAAGUA